Molecule: ribosomal RNA, 472 nt
Filed under: uncultured organism
Description: partial 16S ribosomal RNA
Rfam family: Bacterial small subunit ribosomal RNA
Source: RNAcentral
ACUCCUACGGGAGGCAGCAGUGGGGAAUAUUGCACAAUGGGCGCAAGCCUGAUGCAGCCAUGCCGCGUGUAUGAAGAAGGCCUUCGGGUUGUAAAGUACUUUCAGCGGGGAGGAAGGCGAUAAGGUUAAUAACCUUGUUGAUUGACGUUACCCGCAGAAGAAGCACCGGCUAACUCCGUGCCAGCAGCCGCGGUAAUACGGAGGGUGCAAGCGUUAAUCGGAAUUACUGGGCGUAAAGCGCACGCAGGCGGUCUGUCAAGUCGGAUGUGAAAUCCCCGGGCUCAACCUGGGAACUGCAUUCGAAACUGGCAGGCUAGAGUCUUGUAGAGGGGGGUAGAAUUCCAGGUGUAGCGGUGAAAUGCGUAGAGAUCUGGAGGAAUACCGGUGGCGAAGGCGGCCCCCUGGACAAAGACUGACGCUCAGGUGCGAAAGCGUGGGGAGCAAACAGGAUUAGAUACCCCUGUAGUCCCAU